UUAAGCGACUAAGCGUACACGGUGGAUGCCCUGGCAGUCAGAGGCGAUGAAGGACGUGCUAAUCUGCGAAAAGCGUCGGUAAGGUGAUAUGAACCGUUAUAACCGGCGAUGUCCGAAUGGGGAAACCCAGUGCAAUUCGUUGCACUAUCGUUAACUGAAUACAUAGGUUAACGAGGCGAACCGGGGGAACUGAAACAUCUAAGUACCCCGAGGAAAAGAAAUCAACCGAGAUUCCCCCAGUAGCGGCGAGCGAACGGGGAGCAGCCCAGAGUCUGAAUCAGCUUGUGUGUUAGUGGAACGGUCUGGAAAGUCCGACGGUACAGGGUGAUAGUCCCGUACACCAAAAUGCACAGGCUGUGAACUCGAAGAGUAGGGCGGGACACGUGGUAUCCUGUCUGAAUAUGGGGGGACCAUCCUCCAAGGCUAAAUACUCCUGACUGACCGAUAGUGAACCAGUACCGUGAGGGAAAGGCGAAAAGAACCCCGGCGAGGGGAGUGAAAAAGAACCUGAAACCGUGUACGUACAAGCAGUGGGAGCACCUUCGGGUGUGACUGCGUACCUUUUGUAUAAUGGGUCAGCGACUUAUAUUCUGUAGCAAGGUUAACCGUAUAGGGGAGCCGCAGGGAAACCGAGUCUUAACUGGGCGUUAAGUUGCAGGGUAUAGACCCGAAACCCGGUGAUCUAGCCAUGGGCAGGUUGAAGGUUGGGUAACACUAACUGGAGGACCGAACCGACUAAUGUUGAAAAAUUAGCGGAUGACUUGUGGCUGGGGGUGAAAGGCCAAUCAAACCGGGAGAUAGCUGGUUCUCCCCGAAAGCUAUUUAGGUAGCGCCUCGUGAACUCAUCUUCGGGGGUAGAGCACUGUUUCGGCUAGGGGGUCAUCCCGACUUACCAACCCGAUGCAAACUACGAAUACCGAAGAAUGUUAUCACGGGAGACACACGGCGGGUGCUAACGUCCGUCGUGAAGAGGGAAACAACCCAGACCGCCAGCUAAGGUCCCAAAGUCAUGGUUAAGUGGGAAACGAUGUGGGAAGGCACAGACAGCCAGGAUGUUGGCUUAGAAGCAGCCAUCAUUUAAAGAAAGCGUAAUAGCUCACUGGUCGAGUCGGCCUGCGCGGAAGAUGUAACGGGGCUAAACCAUGCACCGAAGCUGCGGCAGCGACACUAUGUGUUGUUGGGUAGGGGAGCGUUCUGUAAGCCUGCGAAGGUGACCUGUGAGGGUUGCUGGAGGUAUCAGAAGUGCGAAUGCUGACAUAAGUAACGAUAAAGCGGGUGAAAAGCCCGCUCGCCGGAAGACCAAGGGUUCCUGUCCAACGUUAAUCGGGGCAGGGUGAGUCGACCCCUAAGGCGAGGCCGAAAGGCGUAGUCGAUGGGAAACAGGUUAAUAUUCCUGUACUUGGUGUUACUGCGAAGGGGGGACGGAGAAGGCUAUGUUAGCCGGGCGACGGUUGUCCCGGUUUAAGCAUGUAGGCUGGUUGUCCAGGCAAAUCCGGAUAAUCAAGGCUGAGGUGUGAUGACGAGGCACUACGGUGCUGAAGUAACAAAUGCCCUGCUUCCAGGAAAAGCCUCUAAGCAUCAGGUAACAUCAAAUCGUACCCCAAACCGACACAGGUGGUCAGGUAGAGAAUACCAAGGCGCUUGAGAGAACUCGGGUGAAGGAACUAGGCAAAAUGGUGCCGUAACUUCGGGAGAAGGCACGCUGGUGUGUAGGUGAAGUCCCUGCGGAUGGAGCUGAGACCAGUCGAAGAUACCAGCUGGCUGCAACUGUUUAUUAAAAACACAGCACUGUGCAAACACGAAAGUGGACGUAUACGGUGUGACGCCUGCCCGGUGCCGGAAGGUUAAUUGAUGGGGUUAUCCGUAAGGAGAAGCUCUUGAUCGAAGCCCCGGUAAACGGCGGCCGUAACUAUAACGGUCCUAAGGUAGCGAAAUUCCUUGUCGGGUAAGUUCCGACCUGCACGAAUGGCGUAAUGAUGGCCAGGCUGUCUCCACCCGAGACUCAGUGAAAUUGAACUCGCUGUGAAGAUGCAGUGUACCCGCGGCAAGACGGAAAGACCCCGUGAACCUUUACUAUAGCUUGACACUGAACAUUGAGCCUUGAUGUGUAGGAUAGGUGGGAGGCUUUGAAGCGUGGACGCCAGUCUGCGUGGAGCCAACCUUGAAAUACCACCCUUUAAUGUUUGAUGUUCUAACGUUGGCCCCUUACCGGGGUUGCGGACAGUGUCUGGUGGGUAGUUUGACUGGGGCGGUCUCCUCCCAAAGCGUAACGGAGGAGCACGAAGGUUAGCUAAUCCUGGUCGGACAUCAGGAGGUUAGUGCAAUGGCAUAAGCUAGCUUGACUGCGAGCGUGACGGCGCGAGCAGGUGCGAAAGCAGGUCAUAGUGAUCCGGUGGUUCUGAAUGGAAGGGCCAUCGCUCAACGGAUAAAAGGUACUCCGGGGAUAACAGGCUGAUACCGCCCAAGAGUUCAUAUCGACGGCGGUGUUUGGCACCUCGAUGUCGGCUCAUCACAUCCUGGGGCUGAAGUAGGUCCCAAGGGUAUGGCUGUUCGCCAUUUAAAGUGGUACGCGAGCUGGGUUUAGAACGUCGUGAGACAGUUCGGUCCCUAUCUGCCGUGGGCGCUGGAGAAUUGAGGGGGGCUGCUCCUAGUACGAGAGGACCGGAGUGGACGCAUCACUGGUGUUCGGGUUGUCAUGCCAAUGGCACUGCCCGGUAGCUAAAUGCGGAAGAGAUAAGUGCUGAAAGCAUCUAAGCACGAAACUUGCCCCGAGAUGAGUUCUCCCUGAGACUUUAAGUCUCCUGAAGGAACGUUAAAGACGAUGACGUUGAUAGGCCGGGUGUGUAAGCGCAGCGAUGCGUUGAGCUAACCGGUACUAAUGAACCGUGAGGCUUAACCUU
RNAcentral lists this ribosomal RNA (2900 nucleotides) under Klebsiella pneumoniae. RNAcentral's name for it is "bacterial LSU rRNA". It matches the Rfam family "Bacterial large subunit ribosomal RNA". The record is from RNAcentral. Lineage: Bacteria; Pseudomonadati; Pseudomonadota; Gammaproteobacteria; Enterobacterales; Enterobacteriaceae.